RNAcentral lists this ribosomal RNA (500 nucleotides) under uncultured bacterium. RNAcentral describes it as "partial 16S ribosomal RNA". It matches the Rfam family "Bacterial small subunit ribosomal RNA", at positions 29 to 523 of the family's 1533-position model. The record is from RNAcentral.
AUUGAACGCUGGCGGCAUGCCUUACACAUGCAAGUCGAACGGCAGCACGGGAGCAAUCCUGGUGGCGAGUGGCGAACGGGUGAGUAGUACAUCGGAACGUGCCUAGUAGUGGGGGAUAGCCCGGCGAAAGCCGGAUUAAUACCGCAUACGACCUGAGGGUGAAAGCGGGGGAUCGCAAGACCUCGCGCGAUCAGAGCGGCCGAUGCCAGAUUAGGUAGUUGGUGGGGUAAAAGCCUACCAAGCCGACGAUCUGUAGCUGGUCUGAGAGGACGACCAGCCACACUGGGACUGAGACACGGCCCAGACUCCUACGGGGGGCAGCAGUGGGGAAUUUUGGACAAUGGGCGCAAGCCUGAUCCAGCCAUGCCGCGUGCAGGAAGAAGGCCUUCGGGUUGUAAACUGCUUUUGUCAGGGAAGAAAAGUUCUGGGCUAAUACCCCGGAGCGAUGACGGUACCUGAAGAAUAAGCACCGGCUAACUACGUGCCAGCAGCCGCAGUAA